UACGUAGGGGGCAAGCGUUGUCCGGAUUUAUUGGGCGUAAAGCGCGUGUAGGCGGCCAGGUAGGUCCGCUGUGAAAACCCGAGGCUCAACCUCGGGACGUCGGCGGAAACCAUUUGGCUAGAGUCCGGAAGAGGAGAGUGGAAUUCCUGGUGUAGCGGUGAAAUGCGCAGAUAUCAGGAAGAACACCCGUGGCGAAGGCGGCUCUCUGGGACGUGACUGACGCUGAGACGCGAAAGCGUGGGGAGCGAACAGG
Molecule: ribosomal RNA, 253 nt
Filed under: uncultured bacterium
Lineage: Bacteria
Description: partial 16S ribosomal RNA
Rfam family: Bacterial small subunit ribosomal RNA
Source: RNAcentral